GGGACUUGCUUCCAUUCAGCCGCAAGAGCAACGCUGAGGUCAGGCACUGAUGUUGGGCUAUUAGCACUGCCUCAAAGUCGACGUUCCGAUUCAUGCCAAAGGUGUUCGAUGGGGUUGAGCUCUAGCAGACCACCUAGGUCUGUCUAAGAUGCAGCGGAAGGAGACAGAGCAGAAGGAGGUGAAGCAGCCGUUUGCACAUGGACCUACCUGGGCACCAAGCAGUCAUCCGUAGGCUACAGAGCCAAACCUUUAGAGCCAACUAUUGCAGAAGAGGCUGGAGCAGCAGGCAGCAGAGAGGAAACAGAAGCAGAGUGGAAGCAGCAGAUCCUCGAUGAGCGAUCCAGAAAGGACAUAGAGCAGCUGCAAGAGAGAAACACCAAAUUACAUCACACACACACACACGCACACGCACACGCGCACACACACACACACACAGAACAGAACGCCCUGAGUAUGGAGCUGCUCAGCUGUCCCUCGACAAUCAGCACAAAGGGUUUCCAAC
Molecule: non-coding RNA, 502 nt
Organism: Oncorhynchus mykiss (rainbow trout)
Lineage: Eukaryota; Metazoa; Chordata; Actinopteri; Salmoniformes; Salmonidae
Source: RefSeq, a predicted model, not a curated record